Molecule: transfer RNA, 69 nt
Filed under: Pheropsophus jessoensis
Lineage: Eukaryota; Metazoa; Arthropoda; Insecta; Coleoptera; Carabidae
Description: tRNA-Leu
Source: RNAcentral
CAUAUUCUAAUAUGGCAGAAUAGUGCAAUGAAUUUAAGCUUCAUAUAUAAAGUUUACUUUUGUUAGAAA